Non-coding RNA from Mesocricetus auratus (golden hamster), 125 nucleotides. The record is from Rfam. Lineage: Eukaryota; Metazoa; Chordata; Mammalia; Rodentia; Cricetidae.
GUCUACGGCCAUACCACCCUGAACGUGCCUGAUCUCGUCUGAUCUCGGAAGCUAAGCAGGGUCCGGCCUGGUUAGUACUUGGAUGGGAGAGAAGACAUACAUUUGUCUUUCUGGAUCUGCCUUCC